AGAGUUUGAUCCUGGCUCAGAUUGAACGCUGGCGGAAUGCCUUACACAUGCAAGUCGAACGGCAGCACGGGAGCUUGCUCCUGGUGGCGAGUGGCGAACGGGUGAGUAACAUAUCGGAACAUAUCCUAUCGUGGGGGAUAACUAGUCGAAAGACUAGCUAAUACCGCAUACGUCCUGAGGGAGAAAGCGGGGGCUCGCAAGACCUCGCGCGAUUGGAGUGGCCGAUAUCUGAUUAGCUAGAUGGUGAGGUAAAAGCUCACCAUGGCGACGAUCAGUAGCUGGUCUGAGAGGAUGAUCAGCCACACUGGGACUGAGACACGGCCCAGACUCCUACGGGAGGCAGCAGUGGGGAAUUUUGGACAAUGGGCGAAAGCCUGAUCCAGCCAUUCCGCGUGAGUGAAGAAGGCCUUCGGG
RNAcentral lists this ribosomal RNA (414 nucleotides) under uncultured bacterium. RNAcentral's name for it is "bacterial SSU rRNA". It matches the Rfam family "Bacterial small subunit ribosomal RNA", at positions 8 to 422 of the family's 1533-position model. The record is from RNAcentral.